GAUGAAGAACGUAGCGAAAUGCGAUAAGUAAUGUGAAUUGCAGAAUUCACUGAAUCUAAUCUUUGAACGCACAUUGCGCCCGCCAGUAUUCUGGCGGGCAUGCCUGUCCGAGCGUCAUUUCAACCCUCGAACCCCUCCGGGGGGUCGGCGUUGGGGAUCGGCCCUGCCUCUUGGCGGUGGCCGUCUCCGAAAUACAGUGGCGGUCUCGCCGCAGCCUCUCCUGCGCAGUAGUUUGCACACUCGCAUCGGGAGCGCGGCGCGUCCACAGCCGUUAAACACCCAACUUCUGAAAUGUUGACCUCGGAUCAGGUAGGAAUACCCGCUGAACUUAAGCAUAUCAAUAAGCGGAGGA
Molecule: unclassified non-coding RNA, 352 nt
Filed under: soil metagenome
Description: partial contains 5.8S ribosomal RNA, internal transcribed spacer 2, and large subunit ribosomal RNA
Rfam family: 5.8S ribosomal RNA (bases 1-117)
Source: RNAcentral